AAGCGCUCGUGACCAGACUUGCGCCGGGCGGAUCAUCCAGCGUUCUCGCUGGUGCACUCCGCCCGGCUCAGGCCAGCAUCGGUUUUCGCCGGGGGACAAAAGCUUCGGGAACGUGGCUCCUUUCGGGGAGUGUUAUAGCCCGUUGCGUAAUACCCCGGCGGGGACCGAGGACCGCGCUUCGGCAAGGAUGCUGGCGUAAUGGUCAUCAGCGA
This 212-nucleotide ribosomal RNA is filed under the name Gaeumannomyces tritici. RNAcentral's name for it is "partial large subunit ribosomal RNA". Lineage: Eukaryota; Fungi; Ascomycota; Sordariomycetes; Magnaporthales; Magnaporthaceae. The record is from RNAcentral.